CCUGGUGGCUCAGAUGGUAAAGCAUCUGCCUACAAUGCAGGAGACCCAGGUUCGAUCCCUGGGUCAGGA
Molecule: transfer RNA, 69 nt
Filed under: Odocoileus virginianus texanus
Lineage: Eukaryota; Metazoa; Chordata; Mammalia; Artiodactyla; Cervidae
Also listed under: 6 other names
Rfam family: tRNA
About the family: Transfer RNA (tRNA) molecules are approximately 80 nucleotides in length. Their secondary structure includes four short double-helical elements and three loops (D, anti-codon, and T loops).
Source: Rfam by way of RNAcentral